This 530-nucleotide ribosomal RNA is filed under the name Bifidobacterium pseudocatenulatum. Its description in RNAcentral is "bacterial SSU rRNA". It matches the Rfam family "Bacterial small subunit ribosomal RNA", at positions 156 to 698 of the family's 1533-position model. The record is from RNAcentral. Lineage: Bacteria; Bacillati; Actinomycetota; Actinomycetes; Bifidobacteriales; Bifidobacteriaceae.
ACGGGUGGUAAUGCCGGAUGCUCCAACUCUUCGCAUGGUGGGUCGGGAAAGAUUUCAUCGGUAUGGGAUGGGGUCGCGUCCUAUCAGGUAGUCGGCGGGGUAACGGCCCACCGAGCCUACGACGGGUAGCCGGCCUGAGAGGGCGACCGGCCACAUUGGGACUGAGAUACGGCCCAGACUCCUACGGGAGGCAGCAGUGGGGAAUAUUGCACAAUGGGCGCAAGCCUGAUGCAGCGACGCCGCGUGCGGGAUGACGGCCUUCGGGUUGUAAACCGCUUUUGAUCGGGAGCAAGCCUUCGGGUGAGUGUACCUUUCGAAUAAGCACCGGCUAACUACGUGCCAGCAGCCGCGGUAAUACGUAGGGUGCAAGCGUUAUCCGGAAUUAUUGGGCGUAAAGGGCUCGUAGGCGGUUCGUCGCGUCCGGUGUGAAAGUCCAUCGCUUAACGGUGGAUCUGCGCCGGGUACGGGCGGGCUGGAGUGCGGUAGGGGAGACUGGAAUUCCCGGUGUAACGGUGGAAUGUGUAGAUAUC